GACGAACGCUGGCGGCGUGCUUAACACAUGCAAGUCGAACGGAAAGGCCCCUUUGGGGGUACUCGAGUGGCGAACGGGUGCGUAACACGUGAGUAACCUGCCCUUGACUUCGGGAUAACUUCAGGAAACUGGGGCUAAUACCGGAUAGGAAUCCUUGCUGCAUGGUGGGGGUUGGAAAGCUUCGGCGGUUUUGGAUGGACUGGCGGCUUAUCAGCUUGUUGGUGGGGUAGUGGCUUACCAAGGCUUUGACGGGUAGCCGGCCUGAGAGGGCGACCGGCCACAUUGGGACUGAGAUGCGGCCCAGACUCCUACGGGAGGCAGCAGUGGGGAAUAUUGCACAAGGGGCGGAAGCCUGAUGCAGCAACGCCGCGGGCGGGAUGACGGCCUUCGGGUUGUAAACCGCUUUCAGCAGGGGCGAAGCUUGUGGUGACGGUACCUGCAGAAGAAGCACCGGCUAACUACGUG
RNAcentral lists this ribosomal RNA (465 nucleotides) under uncultured bacterium. RNAcentral describes it as "partial 16S ribosomal RNA". It matches the Rfam family "Bacterial small subunit ribosomal RNA", at positions 28 to 507 of the family's 1533-position model. The record is from RNAcentral.